RNAcentral lists this unclassified non-coding RNA (379 nucleotides) under uncultured Gammaproteobacteria bacterium. Its description in RNAcentral is "contains 16S-23S intergenic spacer region". The record is from RNAcentral. Lineage: Bacteria; Pseudomonadati; Pseudomonadota; Gammaproteobacteria.
UCCGGUUUGUCACCGGCAGUCUCCCUAGAGUUCCCGACUUUACUCGCUGGCAACUAGGGACAAGGGUUGCGCUCGUUACGGGACUUAACCCAACAUCUCACGACACGAGCUGACGACAGCCAUGCAGCACCUGUCUUGCGGCUCCCGAAGGCACUCUCCCAUCUCUGGAAGAUUCCGCAGAUGUCAAGAGCAGGUAAGGUUCUUCGCGUUGCAUCGAAUUAAACCACAUGCUCCACCGCUUGUGCGGGCCCCCGUCAAUUCAUUUGAGUUUUAACCUUGCGGCCGUACUCCCCAGGCGGAGAACUUAACGCGUUAGCUGUGACACUAAGGGGUUUAAUCCCCCCAACAUCUAGUUCUCAUCGUUUACGGCGUGGACUAC